RNAcentral lists this transfer RNA (72 nucleotides) under Bos taurus (domestic cattle). It matches the Rfam family "tRNA". Rfam says of the family: Transfer RNA (tRNA) molecules are approximately 80 nucleotides in length. Their secondary structure includes four short double-helical elements and three loops (D, anti-codon, and T loops). Further hydrogen bonds mediate the characteristic L-shaped molecular structure. tRNAs have two regions of fundamental functional importance: the anti-codon, which is responsible for specific mRNA codon recognition, and the 3' end, to which the tRNAs corresponding amino acid is attached (by aminoacyl-tRNA synthetases). tRNAs cope with the degeneracy of the genetic code in two manners: having more than one tRNA (with a specific anti-codon) for a particular amino acid; and 'wobble' base-pairing, i.e. permitting non-standard base-pairing at the 3rd anti-codon position. RNAcentral also lists the same sequence under 2 other names. The record is from Rfam by way of RNAcentral. Lineage: Eukaryota; Metazoa; Chordata; Mammalia; Artiodactyla; Bovidae.
UCCCUUGUGGCUCAGCUGGUAAAGCAACUGCCUGCAAUGCAGUAGAUCUGAGUUCAAUCCCUGGGUUGGGAA